This 240-nucleotide unclassified non-coding RNA is filed under the name soil metagenome. Its description in RNAcentral is "partial contains 5.8S ribosomal RNA, internal transcribed spacer 2, and large subunit ribosomal RNA". The record is from RNAcentral.
AACGCACGAGACCUGCGGACCUGCGGAAGGAUCAUUAAUGAGAAGCUGCCCCUCGUGGGUAGACCUCCCACCCUCUGUGAACUCACCUUUGUUGCUUUGGCAGGCCCGUCCUCUGGACCGCCGGCUUCGGCUGGCCCGUGCCUGCCAGAGGAUUCCAAACCCUGUCUGUCAGUGUUGUCUGAGUCUAUAUGAAAUCGUUAAAACUUUUAACAAUGGAUCUCUAGAUCGGAAGAGCACACG